Molecule: non-coding RNA, 88 nt
Organism: Pseudomonas putida F1
Lineage: Bacteria; Pseudomonadati; Pseudomonadota; Gammaproteobacteria; Pseudomonadales; Pseudomonadaceae
Source: Rfam
AUUUUUGGCGGCUGUGCGCGGGAGGUAUUCGUACCUGCCGGGUCUACCGUGUGCCUGGUCUUCCACCCCGCGUACAGUUGCCACCCUA